UAAACUGAUGUCUGUUGGUUAAGGUAAAUAGCUGUUAACUAUUUUUUGCGGGAUCGAGGCCUGCCAGUUUU
This 71-nucleotide transfer RNA is filed under the name Phrynocephalus axillaris (toad-headed agama). Its description in RNAcentral is "tRNA-Asn". The record is from RNAcentral. Lineage: Eukaryota; Metazoa; Chordata; Lepidosauria; Squamata; Agamidae.